UACAGAGGUCCCAAGCGUUGUUCGGAUUCACUGGGCGUAAAGGGUGCGUAGGUGGUGAGGUAAGUUUGAUGUGAAAUCUCCGGGCUCAACCCGGAAAUGGCAUUGAAUACUAUCUUGCUAGAGGAGUGGAGGGGGGACUGGAAUACUUGGUGUAGCAGUGAAAUGCGUAGAUAUCAAGUGGAACACCAGUGGCGAAGGCGAGUCCCUGGACAAUUCCAGACACUGAGGCACGAAAGCUAGGGGAGCAAACAGG
RNAcentral lists this ribosomal RNA (253 nucleotides) under uncultured bacterium. RNAcentral's name for it is "partial 16S ribosomal RNA". It matches the Rfam family "Bacterial small subunit ribosomal RNA", at positions 524 to 776 of the family's 1533-position model. The record is from RNAcentral.